AUACGAAGGGGGCAAGCGUUGUUCGGAAUAACUGGGCGUAAAGCGCACGUAGGCGGAAUGUUAAGUUAGAGGUGAAAUCCCAGGGCUCAACCCUGGAACUGCCUCUAAUACUGGCAAUCUAGAGACCGAGAGAGGUGAGUGGAAUUCCGAGUGUAGAGGUGAAAUUCGUAGAUAUUCGGAGGAACACCAGUGGCGAAGGCGGCUCACUGGCUCGGUACUGACGCUGAGGUGCGAAAGCGUGGGGAGCAAACAGGAUUAGAAACCCUAGUAGUCC
RNAcentral lists this ribosomal RNA (274 nucleotides) under uncultured bacterium. Its description in RNAcentral is "partial 16S ribosomal RNA". It matches the Rfam family "Bacterial small subunit ribosomal RNA", at positions 523 to 796 of the family's 1533-position model. The record is from RNAcentral.